This 219-nucleotide long non-coding RNA is filed under the name Hordeum vulgare. RNAcentral describes it as "long non-coding RNA (HVUL_LNC015201)". Lineage: Eukaryota; Viridiplantae; Streptophyta; Magnoliopsida; Poales; Poaceae. The record is from RNAcentral.
AACAAAACAUGUAGACAGAUUUGUAAAAAUUUUGGUCGGUAGCAGCCAAGGAGUGCAGUAGUUGAGCAGUAGGUCCCCAGGAAGAAGGCCUAUACACUAUCACAUUAUGAAGAACUAUCUGUCAAAGGAUCAAAGUAGUGUCCGCCACUCUCGCAAACAACCAUGCCCUGAACGUAAAGCUCCUUUGCAAACUCUGGAGAAGGCGGGCUUGCUCUUCGG